GGGGAUGUAGCUCAGUUGGGAGAGCGGCGGCUUUGCAAGCCGUAGGUCGAGGGUUCGAAUCCCUUCAUCUCCA
Molecule: transfer RNA, 73 nt
Filed under: Candidatus Zixiibacteriota bacterium
Lineage: Bacteria; Pseudomonadati; Candidatus Zixiibacteriota
Description: tRNA-Ala
Rfam family: tRNA
About the family: Transfer RNA (tRNA) molecules are approximately 80 nucleotides in length.
Source: RNAcentral